GCCUGAAAGAUCAGGUGUUCCCUUCGGGGACAGAAUGACAGGUGGUGCAUGGUUGUCGUCAGCUCGUGUCGUGAGAUGUUGGGUUAAGUCCCGCAACGAGCGCAACCCUUAUUGCCAGUUGCCAGCAUUCAGUUGGGCACUCUGACAAGACUGCCGGUGACAAACCGGAGGAAGGUGGGGAUGACGUCAAAUCAUCAUGCCCCUUAUGACCUGGGCUACACACGUGCUACAAUGGACGAUACAACGAGUUGCUAGACCGCGAGGUUAAGCUAAUCUCUUAAAGUCGUUCUCAGUUCGGAUUGCAGGCUGCAACUCGCCUGCAUGAAGUUGGAAUCGCUAGUAAUCGCGGAUCAGCAUGCCGCGGUGAAUACGUUCCCGGGUCUUGUACACACCGA
This 395-nucleotide ribosomal RNA is filed under the name uncultured bacterium. RNAcentral's name for it is "bacterial SSU rRNA". It matches the Rfam family "Bacterial small subunit ribosomal RNA", at positions 997 to 1393 of the family's 1533-position model. The record is from RNAcentral.